UUACAGCGACCCCGUAUAUACGAAAAUUGCAUUUACCACUUAUUGCUUAGCUAAUAAAAAGUACAUAGUAUACAAUCGGUGACUCAGUAUCAUACUUAUCCUGAUACCAGAUUCGAUUGACGCAACCAUUAACAGUAGACAUAGACGAGUGUGGCACAGUGUCCUCCUAACACCUAAUGCUUCAAUAGAUGGCAACUAUCAGUGCAGAGACUGUUGAUGCCUGAGUGGGCUGUAUGGGCACUGGGCCAGCUCACUGCAGGAAGUGUGCUACUGGCUACAUACUAACUGGAGCCUAAGUGUUUAGGUAAAAUUAUCAAAGAUUCCAGUCACCCAAUUCAUAGACUGUCCUCCUUGCUACCGCACGGCAAGUGGUACCAGAGC
Long non-coding RNA from Oncorhynchus tshawytscha (Chinook salmon), 381 nucleotides. RefSeq lists it as uncharacterized. NCBI's taxonomy places the organism in Eukaryota, Metazoa, Chordata, Actinopteri, Salmoniformes, Salmonidae. The record is from RefSeq and is a predicted model, not a curated record. The transcript has 3 exons.